Molecule: ribosomal RNA, 343 nt
Filed under: uncultured bacterium
Lineage: Bacteria
Description: bacterial SSU rRNA
Rfam family: Bacterial small subunit ribosomal RNA
Source: RNAcentral
AUUGAACGCUGGCGGCAGGCCUAACACAUGCAAGUCGAACGGUAACAGGAAGAAGCUUGCUUCUUUGCUGACGAGUGGCGGACGGGUGAGGUAAUGUCUGGGAAACUGCCUGAUGGAGGGGGAUAACUACUGGAAACGGUAGCUAAAUACCGCAUAACGUCGCAAGACCAAAGAGGGGGACCUUCGGGCCUCUUGCCAUCGGAUGUGCCCAGAUGGGAUUAGCUAGUAGGUGGGGUAACGGCUCACCUAGGCGACGAUCCCCUAAGCUGGUCUGAGAGGAUGACCAGCCACACUGGAACUGAGACACGGUCCAGACUCCUACGGGAGGCAGCAGUGGGGAAUA